This 2916-nucleotide long non-coding RNA is filed under the name Sus scrofa (pig). RNAcentral describes it as "lncRNA (ENSSSCG00060077063.1)". The record is from RNAcentral. Lineage: Eukaryota; Metazoa; Chordata; Mammalia; Artiodactyla; Suidae.
AGAGCAGCAUUAAUUUCUCCAUUAGAAACGAAGAAAUGAGAGGGUGGGAAGGCCUCAGCCACCACAAAGAAACAGAUGCUGCUGGUGGAAGGCCACGCCUUUUUCCAAAUGCAAAACUCACACCAGCUCUCCAAGUUUGAGUUUGCUUUCUCAGCCUUCCAGACCUCGAAUCGGCAAAAAUCAUUUUUUUCCAUGCUAGUUAAAAUGCCCCUAAGCUACAGGCAUUCGAUUUGCUGGACAGCGGCAUCAUUCUGAUAUUAUCAGCUCUGUCUUCCUGUUUUCAUGAAUAAUGUAUAAGAAGGAGCUAUUAGAAAUGGAUUCUUCCAUGGCUGACGGUCUUGCCACGAGACAGGUCCCUGAAUUCUCAGUCAUUUCAUCUGCAGCACAAACAGAUCACCCCCUUCUGCUGGCUCCCUUCUGGCUGCUUGCUACGCGUGGAGAACCUUCUAGAGACACACUCUCCUCCCUUCUCCCUCGAUGGUAGGAAAACUGGGGGGCACAAGAAGAGGUGCCCUCCAUCCUCCUUCCUUUUCAUUCUUGCUCCAUGUCGGAGGAGCAGCACGGGAGUUACUGAUGCCAAGUUCAUGGGUUUAAUCCCUGGCCUGCCCUGUGUGAGCCAAGCCAGCCUGCUCUGUAUGCACAAGCCUGCCAAGAAAAGGCUUCUCCUUGGGCACAGGUAAGGCUGCAGGAGGACCUCUGCCUGAAUGUUCUCACCCAUGUCUCUAAGUGCUUGCAUCUCUCAUAUCUUUACAAAGAGGAGAACCAUCGUCUUUCAGCCCCACCCCUUCAUUCAUUCAUUCAUUCAACAUUUUUUUUUUUUGUCUUUUUUUGUCUUUUGUUGUUGUUGUUGUUGCUAUUUCUUGGGCCUCUCCUGCGGCAUAUGGAGGUUCCCAGGCUAGGGGUUGAAUCGGAGCUGUAGCCACCGGCCUACGCCAGAGCCACAGCAACGCGGGAUCCGAGCCGCGUCUGCAACCUACACCACAGCUCACGGCAACGCCGGAUCGUUAACCCACUGAGCAAGGGCAGGGACUGAACCCGCAACCUCAUGGUUCCUAGUCGGAUUCGUUAACCACUGCGCCACGACGGGAACUCCCAUUCAACAUAUUUUUAUUACACGUGAGGCUUCCAGUGGAGAAGGCGUGCCAUGACCAAAGAUUAUAGAAAUGAUUAGAAGACGUACAAAGAAGAGCAUCAAAGACACUCUCCUCACCCCUGGAGUCUGACAAUGACGGAGUUCUGGCUCUCCUCCCCUUUCCUCAUUCUUCCGAGCCUCUCAGGUUGCUCCACUCCUGCCCUCAACCUGUGGCUGCAAAUGUGGAGUUUUCCUCCUUCUCUGUGCCCUGGUGUCAGGUGCAGUGCCUGGCACCUAGACUGAGCACGGUGAAUGCCACGACCAUGGAUCUGAGUCCCGACAGAGAGCCUGAAAGCCCCCUGAAUACCCCACAUGGGAGGGGCUCCAAAAACGGUUACCCUCACGUAUUAGGAUGUCAUGCAGUGACCUUGAGCGUGGGGUUUUUGAAAACGAACGAUCUUGGAAAUUUCUCCCGAUGUACUGUAAAUUUGAAAGCAGAAUAUAACAUCCACCCUAAAGCAUGAUCUCAAUCUUAUGUGGAAAAAAGUGGAGGUACCAAGAGACUGGAAGCAGCUUUAGCAAAAUAUUACCAUGCCGUCUGUGUGGGUGGAAUUAGUAGUAAUUUUUAUUUCCAUUUUUGUGCUAUGGCAUCUCCCCCCCCCACAGGUGUUAACUAAUGACUAAAUCAUUUAAAUUAGUUCAUUUAAUUGAACUCAUAGGAAGCCCUCAUUCCAUUCAGUGAUGGGCAGAGCGCAAGCAUGGUCUCCAUCCUAUCCUGAAGAACUGCUUUUAUAAAUAAGAAGGAAACGUUUUUUAAAAUCAAGAUGAAAGAAAGGAACAGCCAUUUUCACUCCCAGAAACAACGCUCUCCUGCAGGUGUCCGGGGGAGCUCCGUCCAGCAGCUCCGUGAUACGACCCGCCAAGGGUGCCAAGAACUGAACCUUGACGAAUGUCCGUUUGUCAUUUGUGCCUGAGGCAAGAUGCUGCGAACAAGGGCUCCUCCCUGUUGUAUCUGUUACUCCGGAGCGGGACACUUUGUACCAUUCACUUUAUACAAUCGAGUCCCACCUCCCUGGAUGCUCGCAGUCGCUCCAUUCCAGCGCUCCCGUGGGCACACGUCUAAGGAGAGUCUUCUCCUGGACUCAGCCCUCAAGUGUUCUAGAUGAAAAUGCCCCCUCCCCUCAGGUCCGAAGCCUGGCUCCACUACCUGCUGCUUCGUACCCAAAGCAGGGGCUUGUGAUUCAAUCACAGAAAAAAAAAAACACCAGCCUGAGUGAGCAAGAAAACAGCAGGAGCCCAAGGACUCCUGUGAACAAAGAGACUGAUUGUUUUCAUGCAAAGUGUUUUUAGUAGUAGGGAGAUAACAGGCAAAUGAAAUAUGAAAGAUAGGCAGAGAUUUUUUUCUUAAACCAAUGGAAGGGGCGGGAGCUCUUUAAUCAAACCAGAGCACAUCUUUUAACCGUGAACUUGGACUCAUCCAGUUCCCACAGUUCUUAUCAGGUAGAAAAGAAUCUCUGCUCUGACUCCUCUUCCCCCACCCUCUUCCAGUCCGGCACAAUCACGUCUCUUUCUGCUUCCCGAGCGUUCCGUCUUAGCCUUGUCUGAAACAGCCUGUUUUGAAAUGUUAGGGCUUCCUAAUGAUGAGAAGUUUAUCACCAGAGAGUGAUUGUAAGCGGUAGAUAGAAUGAGCAAUAUUAACUCUACUAGUUGUCUCUUUAUUUUAACACACUUAGAGAAAACUAUGUCUAGCACGUCAAACUUAGGAUUUUAUUAUAGGCUACGGCAGCCUCAGUUUUAAAAAGCCAGUUAAUAUAGAGCCAAUAAACAGAAAAGUAUUAAAUAAA